This 1089-nucleotide ribosomal RNA is filed under the name uncultured fungus. RNAcentral describes it as "eukaryotic LSU rRNA". The stretch from base 506 to 1089 matches the Rfam family "Eukaryotic large subunit ribosomal RNA", at positions 1 to 589 of the family's 3401-position model. Lineage: Eukaryota; Fungi. The record is from RNAcentral.
AUCAUUACCGAGUUAGGGUCUUAUAGGCCCGACCUCCAACCCUUUGUUUACUACACCAUGUUGCUUUGGCGGGCCCGCCUUUUGGGGCCGCCGGGGGUUUACAAGCCCCUGGUCAGUGUUCGCCAGUAGCCUUAUUAAAUUCUUUUAUAAUUAUGUCGUCUGAGUAUAAAUAUAAAUCGUUAAAACUUUCAACAACGGAUCUCUUGGUUCUGGCAUCGAUGAAGAACGCAGCGAAAUGCGAUAAGUAAUGCGAAUUGCAGAAUUCAGUGAGUCAUCGAAUCUUUGAACGCAUAUUGCGCCCUUUGGUAUUCCGAAGGGCAUGCCUGUUCGAGCGUCAUUAUCAACCAUCAAGCCUGGCUUGUCGUUGGACCUCUUUACCGCUGAAAUAUGUGGUAGGUCCGAAAGAUAAUGACGGCGUCGUGUUUGACCCUAGAUGCAACGAGCUUUUUAUAGCACGCAUUGAAGUGGUCGGCCGACCCGGUCUUUAACCAUUAAUUUCUAAGGUUGACCUCGGAUCAGGUAGGAAUACCCGCUGAACUUAAGCAUAUCAAUAAGCGGAGGAAAAGAAACCAACAGGGAUUACCCUAGUAACGGCGAGUGAAGCGGUAACAGCUCAAAUUUGAAAUCUGACCUUCACGGGUCCGAGUUGUAAUUUGUAGAGGAUGUUUCGGAUAAGGCUUUGGUUUAAGUUUCUUGGAACAGAACGUCAUAGAGGGUGAGAGUCCCGUCUAGAACCGAUAGCCGCGUUCAUGUGAAACUCCUUCGACGAGUCGAGUUGUUUGGGAAUGCAGCUCAAAAUGGGUGGUAAAUUUCAUCUAAAGCUAAAUAUUGGCCAGAGACCGAUAGCGCACAAGUAGAGUGAUCGAAAGAUGAAAAGCACUUUGAAAAGAGAGUUAAACAGUAUGUGAAAUUGUUGAAAGGGAAGCGCUUGCAACCAGACUUGUGUUUAACGGUUCCCCUGUGUCUUUUGACCAGGUUAUUCCGUUAUAUCCAGGCCAGCAUCGGUUCGGGUGGUUGGUUAAAGGCCUUGGGAAUGUAUCUACCUUCGGGUCGACUUAUAGCUCGGGGUGUAAUGCGGCCUACCUGGAC